AGAAAUUGAAUUCAAUGAUCAAACUGACUGACUGACUAACUAGCCAUUGCCUAGUUUGUCGAUCCUGAAACUGAUCAUUGGGUCCCGGUUCCAUUUGUUUCAAGCUCUGACUGACCAAGUGCAGUGCUUGCUAGCACCAGUUGGCCGUACUCGAUGUCCGCAUGUUGUUGCAUUGGAUGGACGACAGAUAAGCUAGGCUACAACUCAGCUCGGCACGCUGCCGGCCGGACUGUGGCCUCCUCCUCUGUGUGUGUCAGGUCAGCAGUGCAUGUGCGUUUUGUUUGUCCGUCCGUCCUACUUACUGGACACGCACACACACGAUGUAGUGUACAGUAGUAGACUAGUACUAGCGCAUAAGCAGCCAAAUGGAGUGGCACGUAUACUUGCAGCUUAAUUGCUAGGGCCCAGUAGAUGAUCGAGAAUGAGAUGCUGUGCUCAUCUGCACUGCACGGCUGGAAUGGAUAAGCAGCAGGUGCCCUCUUCCGGUCCGUGAGUCUCGUCCCCAUAUAUAUAUGCGAUGCGAUGCGGUUGCCAUGCGAUCGAUGUCCUCAUUAGGCUCAUCACGCCGUUUUUAUUAGUCCUUCUUGUUUUCAUUUGUGUUUUAAAAAGUUGCAAGUCUGCAUGCCUGAGUCCA
This is a long non-coding RNA of Panicum virgatum (switchgrass), 634 nucleotides long. RefSeq lists it as uncharacterized. The record is from RefSeq and is a predicted model, not a curated record. Lineage: Eukaryota; Viridiplantae; Streptophyta; Magnoliopsida; Poales; Poaceae. The transcript is spliced from 2 exons.